AAAAGAAAAAAAGAAAGUAUGGUCACAGCCUGGGUUGAGAUUUGGCACCCAGAGCCACCAGGGGCCUCAGCUCACCUCUCACUACCAUGGUCUGGGAGGAUGAAACCAGGCCACAACAAGA
This 121-nucleotide small nucleolar RNA is filed under the name Nannospalax galili (Upper Galilee mountains blind mole rat). RNAcentral describes it as "Small nucleolar RNA ACA64 (ENSNGAG00000008275.1)". It matches the Rfam family "Small nucleolar RNA ACA64". Lineage: Eukaryota; Metazoa; Chordata; Mammalia; Rodentia; Spalacidae. The record is from RNAcentral.